CCCUUAGAUGUUCUCGGCCGCACACGCGCUACACUGAAAGAGGCAACGUGUUUGCCUGAUUCGAAAGAAUUGGGUAACCCCCUAAUCUCUUUCGUGCUGGGGAUUGAGGUUUGCAAUUAUCCUUCAUGAACGAGGAAUUCCCAGUAAGUGCGAGUCAUUAUCUCGCGCUGACUACGUCCCUGCCCUUUGUACACACCGCCCGUCGCUACUACCGAUUGAAUGAUUUAGUGAGGACUUCGGACUGAGUCCAAUGCGGCUUUCGGGCUGCGUUGGUAUUUCGGAAAGAUGUCCAGACUGUAUCAUUUAGAGGAAGUAAAAGUCGUAACA
RNAcentral lists this ribosomal RNA (327 nucleotides) under uncultured eukaryote. RNAcentral describes it as "partial 18S ribosomal RNA". It matches the Rfam family "Eukaryotic small subunit ribosomal RNA", at positions 1470 to 1796 of the family's 1831-position model. The record is from RNAcentral.